GGCUCGUCUGAAGGUAGUGAGUUAUCUCAACUGAUUUGUUCACAGUCAGUUACAGAUUGAACUUACUAUUUUUCCCUUCUCACUAUUGCACUUGUCAAAGAA
RNAcentral lists this Y RNA (102 nucleotides) under Aotus nancymaae (Ma's night monkey). Its description in RNAcentral is "Y RNA (ENSANAG00000013601.1)". It matches the Rfam family "Y RNA". Rfam says of the family: Y RNAs are components of the Ro ribonucleoprotein particle (Ro RNP), in association with Ro60 and La proteins. The Y RNAs and Ro60 and La proteins are well conserved, but the function of the Ro RNP is not known. Lineage: Eukaryota; Metazoa; Chordata; Mammalia; Primates; Aotidae. The record is from RNAcentral.